CAGCCACAUCAUAUUGAAAUAUUGGUUCCUGUAUGAUCACAGAAGUUAAUCAACAUUGAGCCUGAUCAGUAUGUAGAUGGGUGAUCGCUUGGGAAUACCAGGUGCUGUAAG
Molecule: non-coding RNA, 111 nt
Organism: Acanthosepion pharaonis
Lineage: Eukaryota; Metazoa; Mollusca; Cephalopoda; Sepiida; Sepiidae
Source: the annotation of a GenBank genome assembly